This 69-nucleotide transfer RNA is filed under the name Maoricolpus roseus. Its description in RNAcentral is "tRNA-Phe". The record is from RNAcentral. Lineage: Eukaryota; Metazoa; Mollusca; Gastropoda; Turritellidae.
AUUUUAGUAGCUUACAGUUUAGAGCACGGCACUGAAGAUGCCGGGGAGGCAUAGUUUUGUCCUAGAAUA